CCUACGGGAGGCAGCAGUGGGGGAUAUUGCACAAUGGGGGAAACCCUGAUGCAGCGACGCCGCGUGUGGGAAGACGGUCCUCUGGAUUAUAAACCACUGUCCCCAGGGACGAAGAUGACGGUACCUGGGGAGGAAGCUCCGGCUAACUACGUGCCAGCAGCCGCGGUAAUACGUAGGGAGCGAGCGUUGUCCGGAAUUACUGGGUGUAAAGGGAGCGUAGGCGGGACUGCAAGUUGGGUGUCAAAUCUACCGGCUCAACCGGUAGCCGCACUCAAAACUGCAGUUCUUGAGGGAAGUAGAGGCAGGUGGAAUUCCUAGGGUAGCGGUGAAAUGCGUAGAUAUUAGGAGGAACACCAGUGGCGAAGGCGGCCUGCUGGGCUUUUACUGACGCUGAGGCUCGAAAGUGUGGGGAGCAAACAGGAUUAGAUACCCGAGUAGUC
RNAcentral lists this ribosomal RNA (440 nucleotides) under uncultured bacterium. RNAcentral's name for it is "partial 16S ribosomal RNA". It matches the Rfam family "Bacterial small subunit ribosomal RNA", at positions 338 to 795 of the family's 1533-position model. The record is from RNAcentral.